GGGGGGAUGCCCGAGCGGCCAAAGGGAGCGGUCUGUAAAAUCGCCGGCGUACGCCUACGGAGGUUCGAAUCCUCCUCCCCCCAC
RNAcentral lists this transfer RNA (84 nucleotides) under bacterium HR12. Its description in RNAcentral is "tRNA-Tyr". It matches the Rfam family "tRNA". From Rfam's summary of the family: Transfer RNA (tRNA) molecules are approximately 80 nucleotides in length. Their secondary structure includes four short double-helical elements and three loops (D, anti-codon, and T loops). The record is from RNAcentral.